This 495-nucleotide ribosomal RNA is filed under the name uncultured bacterium. Its description in RNAcentral is "partial 16S ribosomal RNA". It matches the Rfam family "Bacterial small subunit ribosomal RNA", at positions 28 to 507 of the family's 1533-position model. The record is from RNAcentral.
GACGAACGCUGGCGGCGUGCCUAAUACAUGCAAGUAGAACGCUGAAGGAGGAGCUUGCUCUUCUGGAUGAGUUGCGAACGGGUGAGUAACGCGUAGGUAACCUGCCUGGUAGCGGGGGAUAACUAUUGGAAACGAUAGCUAAUACCGCAUAACAGUAGAUGUUGCAUGACAUUUGCUUAAAAGGUGCAAUUGCAUCACUACCAGAUGGACCUGCGUUGUAUUAGCUAGUUGGUGGGGUAACGGCACACCAAGGCGACGAUACAUAGCCGACCUGAGAGGGGGGUCGGCCACACUGGGACUGAGACACGGCCCAGACUCCUACGGGAGGCAGCAGUAGGGAAUCGUCGGCAAUGGACGGAAGUCUGACCGAGCAACGCCGCGUGAGUGAAGAGGGGUUUCGGAUCGUAAAGCUCUGUUGUAAGAGAAGAACGAGUGUGAGAGUGGAAAGUUCACACUGUGACGGUAUCUUACCAGAAAGGGACGGCUAACUACGUG